AGCAGCCGCGGUAAUUCCAGCUCCAAUAGCGUAUAUUAAAGUUGUUGCAGUUAAAAAGCUCGUAGUUGAAUUUUGGAUUCUGCCAAUUGGUCCAUCUUUUAGAUGAGUACUGGUUGUGUGGGGUCUAUCCGCCUGGUGAUACGUAAUGUCCUUUAUUGGAUGUUGCGGGUAGUCAGGACCUUUACCUUGAAAAAUUAGAGUGUUUAAAGCAGGCUUAUGCCGGAAUACAUUAGCAUGGAAUAAUAGAAUAGGACGAAGUUGUUUUAUUUUGUUGGUUUCUAGGACAACCGUAAUGAUUAAUAGGGAUAGUUGGGGGCAUUAGUAUUCAAUUGUCAGAGGUGAAAUUCUUGGAUUUAUUGAAGACUAACUACUGCGAAAGCAUUUGCCAAGGAUGUUUUCAUUAAUCAAGAACGAAAGUUAGGGGAUCGAAGACGAUCAGAUACCGUCGUAGUCUUAACCAUAAACUAUGCCGACUAGGGAUCGGGCGAUGUUGUUUCCAUGACUCGCUCGGCACCUUAGU
Molecule: ribosomal RNA, 520 nt
Filed under: uncultured Archaeospora
Lineage: Eukaryota; Fungi; Glomeromycota; Glomeromycetes; Archaeosporales; Archaeosporaceae
Description: SSU rRNA
Rfam family: Eukaryotic small subunit ribosomal RNA
Source: RNAcentral